Molecule: ribosomal RNA, 497 nt
Filed under: uncultured bacterium
Lineage: Bacteria
Description: partial 16S ribosomal RNA
Rfam family: Bacterial small subunit ribosomal RNA
Source: RNAcentral
GAUGAACGCUGGCGGCGUGCCUAAUACAUGCAAGUCGAGCGAACAGAUGAGGAGCUUGCUCCUCUAACGUUAGCGGCUGGCGGGUGGGUAACACGUGGAUAACCUACCUAUUAUACUGGGAUAACUUCGGGAAACCGGAUCUAAUACCGGAUCAUAUGUUGAACCGCAUGGUUCAAUAGUGAAAGACGGUUUUGCUGUCACUUAUAGAUGGAUCCGCGCCGCAUUAGCUAGUUGGUAAGGUAACGGCUUACCAAGGCAACGAUGCGUAGCCGACCUGAGAGGGUGAUCGGCCACACUGGAACUGAGACACGGUCCAGACUCCUACGGGAGGCAGCAGUAGGGAAUAUUCCGCAAUGGGCGAAAGCCUGAUGCAGCCACACCGCGUGAGUGAUGAAGGUCUUCGGAUCGUAAAACCCUGUUAUUAGGGAAGAACAACAGUGGAAUUAACCAUGGAUGUUCUGACGGUACCCAAACAGAAAGCAACGGCUAACUACGUG